AAGUUUAGGUUAAUACACAAACCAAGAGCCUUCAAAGCCCUAAACAGGGGCCCUAAUACCCUAACUUCU
This 69-nucleotide transfer RNA is filed under the name Pseudogekko hungkag (Bicol hollow-dwelling forest gecko). Its description in RNAcentral is "tRNA-Trp". The record is from RNAcentral. Lineage: Eukaryota; Metazoa; Chordata; Lepidosauria; Squamata; Gekkonidae.